Molecule: ribosomal RNA, 1355 nt
Filed under: uncultured bacterium
Lineage: Bacteria
Description: bacterial SSU rRNA
Rfam family: Bacterial small subunit ribosomal RNA
Source: RNAcentral
GGAUGAACGCUAGCGGCAGGCUUAACACAUGCAAGUCGAGGGGCAGCAUACCCAGCAAUGGGUGAUGGCGACCGGCGGAAGGGUGCGUAACGCGUGAGCAACAUACCCUAUACAGGGGGAUAAGCCAGGGAAACUUGGUCUAAUAUCCCAUAGGAAAUAGAUAAGGCAUCUUAUUUAUUUUAAAGCUUCGGUGGUAUAGGAUUGGCUCGCGUGACAUUAGCUAGAUGGAGGGGUAACGGCCCACCAUGGCAAUGAUGUCUAGGGGUUCUGAGAGGAAGAUCCCCCACACUGGGACUGAGACACGGCCCAGACUCCUACGGGAGGCAGCAGUGAGGAAUAUUGGACAAUGGAUGGAAAUCUGAUCCAGCCAUGCCGCGUGCAGGAAGACGGCCCUAUGGGUUGUAAACUGCUUUUAUACGGGAGCAAUAAGGUCUAUGCAUAGAUUGAUGAGAGUACCGUAUGAAUAAGCAUCGGCUAACUCCGUGCCAGCAGCCGCGGUAAUACGGAGGAUGCGAGCGUUAUCCGGAUUUAUUGGGUUUAAAGGGUGCGCAGGCGGACAUUUAAGUCAGGGGUGAAAUCCUACAGCUUAACUGUAGAACUGCCCUUGAUACUGAAUGCCUAGAGUAAAGCUGAAGUGGGCGGAAUGUGUUGUGUAGCGGUGAAAUGCUUAGAUAUAACACAGAACACCAAUCGCGAAGGCAGCUCACUAAACUUUAACUGACGCUCAUGCACGAAAGCGUGGGGAGCAAACAGGAUUAGAUACCCUGGUAGUCCACGCCCUAAACGAUGAUCACUCGCUGUUGGCGAUAUAUUGUCAGUGGCUAAGCAAAAGUGAUAAGUGAUCCACCUGGGGAGUACGACCGCAAGGUUGAAACUCAAAGGAAUUGACGGGGGCCCGCACAAGCGGAGGAGCAUGUGGUUUAAUUCGAUGAUACGCGAGGAACCUUACCAGGGCUCGAACGCAGGAGGAAUACUCCCGAAAGGAAGUAGCCAGAAAUGGCCGCCUGCGAGGUGCUGCAUGGUUGUCGUCAGCUCGUGCCGUGAGGUGUCAGGUUAAGUCCUAUAACGAGCGCAACCCCUAUUCAUAGUUGCCAGCAUAUUACGGUGGGGACUCUAUGAAAACUGCCUGCGCAAGCAGUGAGGAAGGUGGGGAUGACGUCAAAUCAGCACGGCCCUUAUGUCCUGGGCUACACACGUGCUACAAUGGCCGGUACAGAAGGCCGCAACCACGCAAGUGGAAGCUAAUCCCUAAAACCGGUCUCAGUUCGGAUUGGAGUCUGCAACCCGACUCCAUGAAGCCGGAUUCGCUAGUAAUCGCACAUCAGCCAUGGCGCGGUGAAUACGUUCCCGGGCCU